ACCUGUUGUGUUUCUGGAGAAUUUUGGAUUGACGGCUCUGCCAGACUGCAGAUAGGGGAUGGUCCCAUUCCUAGACCAUCAUCGAUUACUCUCAAGGAGUUUGGUGAUCUGUGGGUAGCUGACGCCAAACGUCAGUUCAGUCUCAGGCCCAAGUCGCCGUCCCCUGAUGAGCAGCUGAAACGCAGACAAGAGCGUAAGCGCAAGGGCUUGGUCAUAGCGCUCAACACGUAUGCCAAGCGAAACAACAUUCAGCUCUCUGAGUUGGAAUUUGUGGAAGAGAAAGAGAGGAAUCAAGUCGAUGGAUGCGCAGCACUAUAUGUGCACUCCAACUUUCUGGUGAAAGGUUCAGAUGGCAAACAUACUAUGUUCUUUGCUGAGAUGCGACCUGACUGCACACAGGAAGAGGAUGUUGUUCUCUGCACACCUUUGGAAGAAAACAAUUAUGGAAUCUAUCCACCAACUAAUCUGUUUGGUCUUGGUCUACUAUAUGCUGAAGGUCUAUGA
This 504-nucleotide ribosomal RNA is filed under the name Triticum aestivum (bread wheat). RNAcentral's name for it is "partial small subunit ribosomal RNA". The record is from RNAcentral. Lineage: Eukaryota; Viridiplantae; Streptophyta; Magnoliopsida; Poales; Poaceae.